This is a long non-coding RNA of Bubalus bubalis (water buffalo), 4367 nucleotides long. RefSeq annotates it as DNA methyltransferase 1-associated protein 1. The transcript is spliced from 6 exons. NCBI's taxonomy places the organism in Eukaryota, Metazoa, Chordata, Mammalia, Artiodactyla, Bovidae. The record is from RefSeq and is a predicted model, not a curated record.
UUGUCUUCAGCUGGUGGCUUCCUAGUGGUGCUGCUGGAAUUCCCUAGUGAAGCUAGUUUCAGGCUGGCCAGCCUGAUACUCAACACCUCAGGGAAAUUCUCUCCCUGCAGUGGGAGGCAGCUGCACCUUCUCCAGCUGGUUCUGAGCUUCAGUCUGGGAGACUUUCUCCCAGGAUGCUCUUCCUUGAAAACUCGGUUUUAGUCCUAGCAGGAGUGGCUGCCACUUACACCUGCUUUUUCUGUGUUCUUUAGAUUCUCUCUAUCCGUUUUAUUAGUAAAUUCCCUCUGAUGAAUGGAUAAUUCUUCAUAUUCAAAUUUUCCAAUUCAAAUGACUGGUUUGGUUACUGCCUGCGAGCUGACAUUGGCUGAUACAGACACCAUACAGGAACCCGGAAAAAGCUGGAAGAUGGGCAUGCCCUCUGUGACCACAACAUCCUGAAAGAAUCCAUUCUUAGCCACUUGGUUCUGAGCUUGAAAGGAGGUGUCUAAGCGCUUCCUUUUAAGUUCUCAUUAGAUUUUAUUUCAAUAAAGUUGUUGCAUCCCUUUCUCCUCCUCCCCCCGCACCCCCCCCCCCAAAAAAAAAUAAAUGGUCCAUGGUUUCAUGGCUAUAGAGGAGCCACCUGGCUGCAGCUUGGAAAUCCAGGCAUUCAUCUCCCAGAGCCAUGGCUGUGGGUACAAAGGUGUAGGAGAUUCUAGAACUUGGGGAUGAGAGAGGCACAGGGCUUCUGGGACCAUCAGCAAGAAGUAGAUUAUCAAGCCAGACAAGAAAAAGCCCAAGAAGUCCUACGAAGUCCUGGCCUUCCAGAAGUCUCCAGAUGUGCACCAGGAAGUCUACCACUGCUCUACUCUGACAAGAAGGAUGUAGACCCACCACUAUCCAGUGACACGGGCAAGGCCACCGCACCGUGACGGCCAAGUUGGGCUCCAAAAAGACGUGGCCAUGGAAGUGGAUGCCAUCCACCAACCCAGCAUGCAAGGAUGGAGCCCGUUCUUCCACUGGCAACAGGCAGCUGAGGAGGGCAAGGCUGUCCCCUUGCCCACGUUCGAUAAGACUGUUGGUGCCCGUGCAUUCAGAGCAGGAGUACCAGCUCUAGCUUCACCACAACACUCAAACAGAGGCAGAAACUGACCACGUCUUUGACCUCAGCCGCUGCUUUGAUCUCCCUUUUGUCUUUCACCAUGCCUAGGAUGAUCGCCAGCAGUUGACGGAGCCACCUGUGGAGGACUUGAAGGAGCAGUAUUACCGCGUCUGAGCCAAGCUGGACAAUGUCCAGGCCGAGAUCUGGACAACGCACAAACCUCGGGGUACCAGUGUUUGAUGCUUGGCACUGGCGACGGCGGAAGGAACAACUGAAGCAUCGCUGUAAGCUGCCAGUAAGCACGUGAUGGCGGAAGGGUACCCAUUAUAUAAGCUGCUCCAGAUCUAGUCCCGGCAGAAGCAGUGUAGUCGGGAGCGCGGGAGCUUCUGACGGCCGCCGGCCUGGCUGCCCAGCAACGUCCUCCUGAUGCAGUCACUUCACAAAAAAGGGGCUGAGAAGCCGGUUGUUCCUGAGACUAUGGGCAAGACUACCCUAGCAGAUGGAGCUACUAGGGUCUAUGGAACAGACUAUCAAGGCCUGGAACCAGUGCUGGGUGUGGAGCUGAGCCCGGAGGAGGGGUUGGUGCGCAGGCUCAGCGAGGCGCGGCCUGAGCUGGUGCAGGUGGAUCAGCUCGAGCAGGAUGGCGCCGCCAGUGGGGACGAGCCCCGGGCGCUGGCCCCGGCUGGGUGCUACGAGGCUGCAACCCCAGCGUUGGUGCGGGCCCUGGAGGAGCCUGAACCUGGCCUGGGGCAUGCUCCUAGCAAGGGCACCAUCGUCUACCAUCAUCGCACCCAUCGCGUCCAGGAGGAAGCGAUGGAAAUCAUCUCCAGCUCCUCUUCUGUGAAGAAAACCAAGAAACCUUGAGAGGCCGCAAGGGGUGAGGGAGGCGGCUGCGUAGAGCUGAUCUACAUUGUCCUACAUCGGGGCCCUCCUUCAGCCUGAGCCCCAGAAUGACUGUGACUGGGAGCAGAGCCACAGCUGACUUGCAUGGCCGCACACUCAACCACCAGCCCAGUCAGUCUGCAGCCAUCAACAAUCAAAGCCAGACCCUCUGUCAGCAAGACGAUGACUUGCUGAAGACUCAGAUGAUGGACUUCAGAGAAAACAAACACAAGGGAAUCCUGACCUGAGAAAAUGGAGUCCAUAUAUUUUUCUUUGAGCUGAAGGAAAGCAAAUGUAAGCAUUGUCUUCCUCCAAUGGCCACUUUAGUGGAAGAAGAGUGUGGGGGUGUCGUCUUGUUACCUUCAGACAAGCCGGAAGUGCAGGUUCUUCACAUGGCCUGGUUUCCCAUUGGGAUGAACGGGGGCUCUUUGUUACUACUGGAUGGGCUCAGAGUUCCAUCUCCCCCUUCAACUUCAGCUGGGACCUGGCUGGGAGCAGAAGAAGAUCUUGUCACCAGGCUUCAUUGGGGCCCCUGCUGCCAGUUUCUUGGAGGAAGUGGACUCGUUAUCACUGAGUAGUGCUAAGAGCCUUGACUGCAUUGUUCCUGUUCUCACGCACCCUCGGUGAGGAAGUGGAGGUACCUUGUUACUGCUGCAGAGAAGUGGCGAUCCAGACUCUGUCCUGGUCUUCACUGCAGCAUGGCAUGAGAUCUGUCAGAGAUGGCAAGCUCAGUUCUCCAGUCAGCCUCUUCUGAUACCAAGCUGCGGAAGCAAAGUUAGAGUGUCUCACUGUUGCCCGCCAAGGGUGGAAGUCUCACUUUUCCACUCAAAACUUUGCUAGAAAGGAUGAGGCUGGGGCUUACUCUACACCGGUUAUUGGGUGAAGGUUUUUCUCUUGUUACCUGGUCCUUCGGCUACAGAGAGGAGGCUGUACUAGGGUUCUUUUAGCAGCUCCUCCAGUAUUCAUUCUGAGAUACAUGAGACAAAAAGGAAACUUCAGAAUUCACCAAGUCGUUCCACAUAAACAUAGGUAUAAAUAUCUCCCAGUUUUGAACUUGUACUUGGUGGUUGAAAUAGGUAAAAGUACAUCUAUUCUUCUCCAUACUCUUUGAAAGUUCGAUAAAAUUCAUAUGAUUCUUGUUUUGUAAAUUGAGGUAUAAGUGAAAUAUAACAUUUCAGAUGUAUGAUAAAAUGGCUCAGUGUUUGUAUAUAUUGUGAAAUGAUCAUGAUAAAUUAUCUUAAAAAUCUUUAGAAAGCUAUAAUAAACUUAACAAAAUGUUUAUUGUAAUAUGCCUCACAGCAGAUAAUACUUGAUGUGAUAUAUGUCUCUGAUAUUUUACCCUGCUUUAAUGCCAAAUACUAAAGAAAAUGAUACAAACACAGAUCCAUUAUUACUGCCAGCAAAAAAAAAAAAAAAAAAAAAUUCACAUCCCUUUGGUGAAAUGCAAUGAAACAAACCAUGAGGUUGGAUAAUGUGGAUGACACUUUAAAUGGAAAGGAAAAUCAAGAAUUAAAAUAAUUGUGAUGGAGUCCUGUGGUAUUCUUUUAAAACUCCUAUUAAAAUAUUGGAGGAUGAUGGGGUACAAAUGGAGAAGUGAAUAGGUGCUUUAGGGUGACCACUGCAGUUUAUCUGGACCUCGCCUGGUUUUAACACUGAACGUCUCUUAGUCCUGGACAAACAGGAACAGUAGUCAUCCUCACUGGACAACUGUGCUGAUUUAUAGGUACUGUGCAAUUUUAAUUUUAUUAGUAAAUGUAAUUGUAGCUGUUUUACUACUAAUGCAUCCAAGGAAUUAUUAAAAUAACUGGGUGAAAUUCACCACAUUCUCUUACCUCAUCCACCGUUGUAGCUGGGAGCUUGUGACUUCUAGCAACUACUGAAUUGGGUUUUCUGUUCUUGUUCUUCACCUCCUUUAGCCCCUCUGUUUCCAAACAGCAGAAUUCUUAAGAACUGCAUUAGAAUCAAGCAAUUGGAGAGAGAUAUUUAUGAUUAGAAAACUGUUGACUAGAACCAAAGUUUAUUAUAUUAUCUGUAGAAUAAUAGACAUUUUAAAAUGAAUUAAUGUAGUUUGCUAUAUUUGCUAAAGUUAUAUUGUAUCAAUUACUUACUGGAAUCUUCAUUUACAAGAAAUAAUAGUAAUAUAGAAUAAUCUUGUAUUUAUAAACCAACCCUUUACUGUACAGAAGAAACUAACAACACUGUAAAGCCACUAUAUGUCAAUAAAAAUUAAACCAAAUCAUUAAAAUUUCAAUAAUUUUAUUGUUUUGUUAUGUAUACCCCCUAUAAGUAAUCCAUGUAAUUUUUAGUGUGUUGUAUAAAUUGGCAUGUUAGGAAUAUAGCACAUUGAAUUAAAUCCUGUAAGACUAAUUUUUAAAUAAAUCUUAAUUUUUCUUUAGAGCAAUAAACC